This 460-nucleotide ribosomal RNA is filed under the name uncultured bacterium. Its description in RNAcentral is "SSU rRNA". It matches the Rfam family "Bacterial small subunit ribosomal RNA", at positions 26 to 518 of the family's 1533-position model. The record is from RNAcentral.
AGAAUCAACGCUGGCGGCGUGCCUAACACAUGCAAGUCGAACGAGAAAGUGGAGCAAUCCAUGAGUAAAGUGGCGCACGGGUGAGUAACACGUGACUAACCUACCUUUUAGUGGGGGAUAACCUAGGGAAACCUGGGCUAAUACCGCAUAACACUUACGAGUCAAAGCAGCAAUGCGCUGAAAGAGGGGGUCGCGGCCGAUUAGCUAGUUGGCGGGGUAAUGGCCCACCAAGGCAGUGAUCGGUAUCCGGCCUGAGAGGGCGCACGGACACACUGGAACUGAAACACGGUCCAGACUCCUACGGGAGGCAGCAGUGGGGAAUUUUGCGCAAUGGGGGAAACCCUGACGCAGCAACGCCGCGUGGAGGAUGAAGUCCCUUGGGACGUAAACUCCUUUCGAUCGGGACGAUAAUGACGGUACCGGAAGAAGAAGCCCCGGCUAACUUCGUGCCAGCAGCCGC